Molecule: transfer RNA, 77 nt
Filed under: Candidatus Brocadia sinica
Lineage: Bacteria; Pseudomonadati; Planctomycetota; Candidatus Brocadiia; Candidatus Brocadiales; Candidatus Brocadiaceae
Also listed under: 1 other name
Description: tRNA-Glu
Rfam family: tRNA
About the family: Transfer RNA (tRNA) molecules are approximately 80 nucleotides in length.
Source: RNAcentral
UGGCCCCAUCGUCUAGCCUGGUCUAGGACAACAGAUUUUCGAUCUGUGAACUGGGGUUCAAAUCCCCAUGGGGUCAA